UCGGACGGGUGAGUAACGCGUGAGAAUCUACCUUCAGGACGGAGAUAACCGCUGGAAACGGCGGCUAAUCCCCGAUGAGCCUACGGGUGAAAGCGUUAACGCCUGAAGAGGAGCUCGCGGCUGAUUAGCUAGUUGGUGGGGUAAGAGCCUACCAAGGCAACGAUCAGUAGCUGGUCUGAGAGGAUGGUCAGCCACACUGGGACUGAGACACGGCCCAGACUCCUACGGGAGGCAGCAGUGGGGAAUCUUCCGCAAUGGGCGCAAGCCUGACGGAGCUAUACCGCGUGAGGGAAGAAGGCUCUUGGGUCGUAAACCUCUUUUCUUGGGGAAGAAAGCUGACGGUACCCAAGGAAAAAGCCUCGGCCAACUCCGUGCCAGCAGCCGCGGUAAUACGGAGGAGGCAAGCGUUAUCCGGAAUUAUUGGGCGUAAAGCGUCCGCAGGUGGCCUCUCAAGUCUGCGGUGAAAGAGCGGGGCUUAACCCCGGAGGAGCCGUGGAAACUGAGAAGCUAGAGUGCGGUAGGGGUAGAGGGAAUUCCCAGUGUAGCGGUGAAAUGCGUAGAGAUUGGGAAGAACAUCGGUGGCGAAAGCGCUCUACUGGACCGCAACUGACACUCAGGGACGAAAGCUAGGGGAGCGAAAGGGAUUAGAUACCCCUGUAGUC
RNAcentral lists this ribosomal RNA (662 nucleotides) under uncultured cyanobacterium. Its description in RNAcentral is "bacterial SSU rRNA". It matches the Rfam family "Bacterial small subunit ribosomal RNA", at positions 98 to 795 of the family's 1533-position model. Lineage: Bacteria; Bacillati; Cyanobacteriota. The record is from RNAcentral.